AUGGCGACAAACACACCACCCUUCGCCCCCGCGGCGGCUGCGAUCGGCCAAGGCGACGCAGGAAAAGGAAGGCGUGGAGUGCGAUCCCGCGACGGCCGCAAGCGCCGGAGGGUCGCCGAGGAGAGCGGCGGCUGGGCGUCGCUCCCCAGCGACAUGGUCCGCCUCGUCGCCGCGCGGGUGCUGGUCACUGGGGACGUGGUGGACUACCUGGUCCUCCGCUCCGUCUGCUCCGGCUGGCGAGCAUGCACGCCCGCUGGCCGCAGCGGAAGCCUGGGGACAAGGAAGCAGCUGUGCCUCCGCCCGCGCGGCUGGGUCGCGCUCUGCGACGGCGACGCGGUGCGCCCGGACGACGCCCGCGCGGUCACCUUCUUCAAGCCCAGCACCGGCCGCCGCCUCCGUGUCCGCCUCCCGAACCUCCGGGGCCACAGGGUCGUCGCCAUCAGCGACGGUCUCCUCGUCCUGCUCCACAAGCGCACCACCGCCGUCCGCGUGCUCCAUCCCUUCACCCGCGCAGUGCUCGACCUCCCGCCCAUCGCCCCGACCUUCCGCGUGGUGGCAGGGAGCCGGGACUCUCUCCUCCGCAUGAACGCCGCCGUCUGCAUGAACGCACCGACCCGCGACUACUCCAUCGACGUCGUGGCCUGGUUCCCGGGGACAAACGCCGUGCUCUGGGCCAAGCCCAGCUACGCCAACUGGGACGCCAUCUACCUUGACGUCGAGCUCCAGAGCGUCCUCCUUUUCCGCGGCCGUCUCUACGCCACCACGUGGACAUCCGCCAACAUCCUGCAGGUGUACCCUCCGAGCAAGUGCUUUCCUGUGGACACCCCCAUCCCCGACGAGUUCGGGAACCCAUCGUCGUGCCGCUACUUCCUCGUCGAGUCCAACGGCCGCAUGCUGCUCGCUGUUCGGCAUUAUGUCUACACGGCCAACGCGCCGUCGUUCACCGCCUUCAAGAUCUUCACGGUGGACCUGGACCGCCGGCAGCUGACCCCCGUGAGCAGCAUCGGCGAUCGUGCGCUGAUCCUCGGCCAGGACAGGUGCCUGUCCGUCUCGGCCAGCCACUUCCCGUCCAUCAGCGGAAACUCUGUCUACUGUUCCUACUACCGAUACUCCUCGGAAUUCGGUGUCCAGCUACACUCCCUGAGCAGUGGCUCCACCGAGGCGCCAUCGGCGUGGAACCUCUUACGCGACGACAUGGAGAUGAUUGCCUCAGCGCGGCCUUUCACCAUUGCCGACCAUCUUGUCACAUACUGCAAUCAUCUUGAAUGGGCAAGAGGACUCAUGUUUCAUGAGUAUCACAACAUACUUGAUAGCUUCGUGGAACUAAAGAAGAAAAUCAGGAAGCAAGAUGCAGAGCUGCGUAUUCCAUUUGGUGACGCCAGGAAGAAGACGGGCAAACCAUCUACUCUCUAUUCCAAAUAG
This 1422-nucleotide ribosomal RNA is filed under the name Triticum aestivum (bread wheat). RNAcentral describes it as "partial small subunit ribosomal RNA". Lineage: Eukaryota; Viridiplantae; Streptophyta; Magnoliopsida; Poales; Poaceae. The record is from RNAcentral.